AGGGAAAGCAGACCCAGGUGGAGCGAUGCUGGGGAGAGGAGGAGGAGGGGAGGAGGAGGAGGAGGAGGGCCAGGAGGAGGAGGAGGAGGGGAGGAGGAGGGCCAGCAGGAGGAGGAGGUAUGGUGUCCCUUGGCAGCUCCGUGCGCGCUGCGGCGGGGGCAACGGGAGCACGGGGUACCAGUUGCUCAACACUUUACCAGUUUGCACUGCUCUUUCUUCUCUCUCCGGUGAAUUUCCAUUUUGAGGGAACAGCUCCGUAGAGGAAAGUUUCUGGAAAGUGAGCCCAUACUUCGGUGCCCACGACCCGAAGCCCUCGGGUGCUCCCGAAGUUCGUUCGGAUUUCGAGCCCCGCCGCCUUUGUGGAAGGUGCAGUUACACCUGUAGGGGGACGGGGAGGGGAGCCCGCGUUUCCCAUCCAGGCAACGACCCGAGCCGGUGCAGCAGCAGGACCGUGGGGGCAGGUGCAGGUGCUCGGCGCGGGCGUCCUUGCUGCCUUCUCUGGGAGGUUUCGUGUUGGUGCUUGAGGGAGCUGCAGCAUGCCCGGCGUUGCUCUGUGCGAGGACGUGGUCCAGAGCCCCUCUGGAGGCAGGUAGCCGGGCGGUGUUUGCACCUGUGUUGGGAGGGCAGGGACAGGGUUGGGAUGCUGUUGCCAAGGGCGCGUGGGCCCUGGGUGGGGAUGUGCCAAGUUAGGGUCCAUCGCUCCUUUUCUCAGCGGGCCCCACGCCUUGCUGAUCCUUUCGUGGUACUUAGUUUGUUGCAGACACAAAGAAUGAAUUAAAGAGAACGAUUGUCGAGACUGUCUGGUGGCUACUUAGAUAUACCAUCUUGGGUGUGAUAACGUGAAAGACGGCAGUAUCCCCUUUCAGAAGCAGAGGUUUAUCAAUCCGGAAGGAAAUAGUACAUCAGUGUCACUUACUUUAAUUGGGGAGAGAGGUCGGCUGGUAACUGGAAAAUGAUUCCACUAAUUGUAUUCUCGAUUUAGCAAAAUAAUACACAAGUUGGAAUAGGUCAGUCAGACAACAUUACAUGGAAUGCAAGAAAUGAUGUUUGCCAAAAGGUAGUUCGUGGAAGAAAAAAAAAAACCAAUGGCACGGAUCAUUUUGAAUUGGAGUUAAGUUGAUUAGAAUUAUGGCUAUUAAAGCUACUUAAGGUGCCAGGCAUAAAGUGAUUAUCUAAUAUACCUCUUCUCUCUUUUGGGAUUGCAACACCUGUUAGCCGGCUGAUUACUAGGUUUCUAAGUCAGUUUGUAUUUGCCGGCAAUUUUAAGUAAUGCUACUUCAUGAGAAGAUUGUACUGAGAACUAAAGGAUUAAGUUGCAACAACAUUUUGCGGAUUAUUUCACAAUUGGGUUUGUUUCUAAACUGAUUUUACCUGUACAGCCAUUCACAGAUGCUCUGUUAAAUACUCUUUGAUGGUGGUAAUGAAUGGUACAUUGAUUAAAAUGAAGUAGAUCUGCUUUGAGAAGGUAACCAGGAGAGAAAAUAAAUAUUUUCUCAUUUAAGCA
RNAcentral lists this long non-coding RNA (1504 nucleotides) under Vulpes vulpes (red fox). RNAcentral describes it as "lncRNA (ENSVVUG00000003625.1)". Lineage: Eukaryota; Metazoa; Chordata; Mammalia; Carnivora; Canidae. The record is from RNAcentral.